This 219-nucleotide ribosomal RNA is filed under the name uncultured bacterium. Its description in RNAcentral is "partial 16S ribosomal RNA". It matches the Rfam family "Bacterial small subunit ribosomal RNA", at positions 99 to 334 of the family's 1533-position model. The record is from RNAcentral.
CAAACGGGUGAGUAACACGUGGGAACACGCCUUCGAGUGGGGAAUAACGCUGAGAAAUCAGUGCUAAUACCGCAUAUGGUCUAACGACUAAAGCAGCAAUGCGCUCGGAGAGUGGCCCGCGUCCGAUUAGCUAGUUGGUGGGGUAAUGGCCUACCAAGGCGGUGAUCGGUAGCUGGUCUGAGAGGAUGGUCAGCCACACUGGGACUGCGAACGGCCCAG